GACGAACGCUGGCGGCGUGCUUAACACAUGCAAGUCGAACGGAAAGGCCCUGCUUUUGUGGGGUGCUCGAGUGGCGAACGGGUGAGUAACACGUGAGUAACCUGCCCUUGACUUUGGGAUAACUUCAGGAAACUGGGGCGAAUACCGGAUAGGAGCUCCUGCUGCAUGGUGGGGGUUGGAAAGAUUCGGCGGUUGGGGAUGGACUCGCGGCUUAUCAGCUUGUUGGUGGGGUAGUGGCUUACCAAGGCUUUGACGGGUAGCCGGCCUGAGAGGGUGACCGGCCACAUUGGGACUGAGAUACGGCCCAGACUCCUACGGGAGGCAGCAGUGGGGAAUAUUGCACAAUGGGCGGAAGCCUGAUGCAGCAACGCCGCGUGCGGGAUGACGGCCUUCGGGUUGUAAACCGCUUUCGCCUGUGACGAAGCGUGAGUGACGGUAAUGGGUAAAGAAGCACCGGCUAACUACGUG
Molecule: ribosomal RNA, 468 nt
Filed under: uncultured bacterium
Lineage: Bacteria
Description: partial 16S ribosomal RNA
Rfam family: Bacterial small subunit ribosomal RNA
Source: RNAcentral